GGGUUGUGAGGUUAAGCGACUAAGCGUACACGGUGGAUGCCCUGGCAGUCAGAGGCGAUGAAGGACGUGCUAAUCUGCGAUAAGCGUCGGUAAGGUGAUAUGAACCGUUAUAACCGGCGAUUUCCGAAUGGGGAAACCCAGUGUGUUUCGACACACUAUCAUUAACUGAAUCCAUAGGUUAAUGAGGCGAACCGGGGGAACUGAAACAUCUAAGUACCCCGAGGAAAAGAAAUCAACCGAGAUUCCCCCAGUAGCGGCGAGCGAACGGGGAGCAGCCCAGAGCCUGAAUCAGUGUGUGUGUUAGUGGAAGCGUCUGGAAAGGCGCGCGAUACAGGGUGACAGCCCCGUACACAAAAAUGCACAUGCUGUGAGCUCGAUGAGUAGGGCGGGACACGUGGUAUCCUGUCUGAAUAUGGGGGGACCAUCCUCCAAGGCUAAAUACUCCUGACUGACCGAUAGUGAACCAGUACCGUGAGGGAAAGGCGAAAAGAACCCCGGCGAGGGGAGUGAAAAAGAACCUGAAACCGUGUACGUACAAGCAGUGGGAGCCUCUUAAUGGGGUGACUGCGUACCUUUUGUAUAAUGGGUCAGCGACUUAUAUUCUGUAGCAAGGUUAACCGAAUAGGGGAGCCGAAGGGAAACCGAGUCUUAACUGGGCGUUAAGUUGCAGGGUAUAGACCCGAAACCCGGUGAUCUAGCCAUGGGCAGGUUGAAGGUUGGGUAACACUAACUGGAGGACCGAACCGACUAAUGUUGAAAAAUUAGCGGAUGACUUGUGGCUGGGGGUGAAAGGCCAAUCAAACCGGGAGAUAGCUGGUUCUCCCCGAAAGCUAUUUAGGUAGCGCCUCGUGAAUUCAUCUCCGGGGGUAGAGCACUGUUUCGGCAAGGGGGUCAUCCCGACUUACCAACCCGAUGCAAACUGCGAAUACCGGAGAAUGUUAUCACGGGAGACACACGGCGGGUGCUAACGUCCGUCGUGAAGAGGGAAACAACCCAGACCGCCAGCUAAGGUCCCAAAGUCAUGGUUAAGUGGGAAACGAUGUGGGAAGGCCCAGACAGCCAGGAUGUUGGCUUAGAAGCAGCCAUCAUUUAAAGAAAGCGUAAUAGCUCACUGGUCGAGUCGGCCUGCGCGGAAGAUGUAACGGGGCUAAACCAUGCACCGAAGCUGCGGCAGCGACGCUUAUGCGUUGUUGGGUAGGGGAGCGUUCUGUAAGCCUGCGAAGGUGUACUGUGAGGUAUGCUGGAGGUAUCAGAAGUGCGAAUGCUGACAUAAGUAACGAUAAAGCGGGUGAAAAGCCCGCUCGCCGGAAGACCAAGGGUUCCUGUCCAACGUUAAUCGGGGCAGGGUGAGUCGACCCCUAAGGCGAGGCCGAAAGGCGUAGUCGAUGGGAAACAGGUUAAUAUUCCUGUACUUGGUGUUACUGCGAAGGGGGGACGGAGAAGGCUAUGUUGGCCGGGCGACGGUUGUCCCGGUUUAAGCGUGUAGGCUGGUUUUCCAGGCAAAUCCGGAAAAUCAAGGCUGAGGCGUGAUGACGAGGCACUACGGUGCUGAAGCAACAAAUGCCCUGCUUCCAGGAAAAGCCUCUAAGCAUCAGGUAACAUCAAAUCGUACCCCAAACCGACACAGGUGGUCAGGUAGAGAAUACCAAGGCGCUUGAGAGAACUCGGGUGAAGGAACUAGGCAAAAUGGUGCCGUAACUUCGGGAGAAGGCACGCUGAUACGUAGGUGAAGUCCCUUGCGGAUGGAGCUGAAAUCAGUCGAAGAUACCAGCUGGCUGCAACUGUUUAUUAAAAACACAGCACUGUGCAAACACGAAAGUGGACGUAUACGGUGUGACGCCUGCCCGGUGCCGGAAGGUUAAUUGAUGGGGUUAGCGGUAACGCGAAGCUCUUGAUCGAAGCCCCGGUAAACGGCGGCCGUAACUAUAACGGUCCUAAGGUAGCGAAAUUCCUUGUCGGGUAAGUUCCGACCUGCACGAAUGGCGUAAUGAUGGCCAGGCUGUCUCCACCCGAGACUCAGUGAAAUUGAACUCGCUGUGAAGAUGCAGUGUACCCGCGGCAAGACGGAAAGACCCCGUGAACCUUUACUAUAGCUUGACACUGAACAUUGAGCCUUGAUGUGUAGGAUAGGUGGGAGGCUUUGAAGUGUGGACGCCAGUCUGCAUGGAGCCGACCUUGAAAUACCACCCUUUAAUGUUUGAUGUUCUAACGUUGGCCCCUAAUCGGGGUUGCGGACAGUGUCUGGUGGGUAGUUUGACUGGGGCGGUCUCCUCCUAAAGAGUAACGGAGGAGCACGAAGGUUGGCUAAUCCUGGUCGGACAUCAGGAGGUUAGUGCAAUGGCAUAAGCCAGCUUGACUGCGAGCGUGACGGCGCGAGCAGGUGCGAAAGCAGGUCAUAGUGAUCCGGUGGUUCUGAAUGGAAGGGCCAUCGCUCAACGGAUAAAAGGUACUCCGGGGAUAACAGGCUGAUACCGCCCAAGAGUUCAUAUCGACGGCGGUGUUUGGCACCUCGAUGUCGGCUCAUCACAUCCUGGGGCUGAAGUAGGUCCCAAGGGUAUGGCUGUUCGCCAUUUAAAGUGGUACGCGAGCUGGGUUUAGAACGUCGUGAGACAGUUCGGUCCCUAUCUGCCGUGGGCGCUGGAGAACUGAGGGGGGCUGCUCCUAGUACGAGAGGACCGGAGUGGACGCAUCACUGGUGUUCGGGUUGUCAUGCCAAUGGCACUGCCCGGUAGCUAAAUGCGGAAGAGAUAAGUGCUGAAAGCAUCUAAGCACGAAACUUGCCCCGAGAUGAGUUCUCCCUGACUCCUUGAGAGUCCUGAAGGAACGUUGAAGACGACGACGUUGAUAGGCCGGGUGUGUAAGCGCAGCGAUGCGUUGAGCUAACCGGUACUAAUGAACCGUGAGGCUUAACCUUACAACGCCGAAG
RNAcentral lists this ribosomal RNA (2926 nucleotides) under Escherichia coli. RNAcentral's name for it is "bacterial LSU rRNA". It matches the Rfam family "Bacterial large subunit ribosomal RNA". The record is from RNAcentral. Lineage: Bacteria; Pseudomonadati; Pseudomonadota; Gammaproteobacteria; Enterobacterales; Enterobacteriaceae.